CCUACGGGAGGCUGCAGUGAGGAAUAUUGGUCAAUGGCCGAGAGGCUGAACCAGCCAAGUCGCGUGAGGGAAGACGGCCCUACGGGUUGUAAACCUCUUUUGUCGGGGAGCAAAGCGAGUCACGUGUGACUCAUUGAGAGUACCCGAAGAAAAAGCAUCGGCUAACUCCGUGCCAGCAGCCGCGGUAAUACGGAGGAUGCGAGCGUUAUCCGGAUUUAUUGGGUUUAAAGGGUGCGCAGGCGGAGGUGCAAGUCAGCGGUCAAAUUGCGGGGCUCAACCUCUUCGAGCCGUUGAAACUGGUUUUCUUGAGUGAGCGAGAAGUAUGCGGAAUGCGUGGUGUAGCGGUGAAAUGCAUAGAUAUCACGCAGAACUCCGAUUGCGAAGGCAGCAUACCGGCGGCGAUCUGACGCUGAGGCACGAAAGCGUGGGUAUCGAACAGGAUUAGAUACCCCUGUAGUC
This 459-nucleotide ribosomal RNA is filed under the name uncultured bacterium. RNAcentral describes it as "partial 16S ribosomal RNA". It matches the Rfam family "Bacterial small subunit ribosomal RNA", at positions 338 to 795 of the family's 1533-position model. The record is from RNAcentral.